CGCGUAGGCGGGUUUUCAAGUCUGUGGUGAAAUCCUCCAGCUUAACUGGAGAAGUGCCGUGGAUACUGGGGACCUCGAGGUGGGUAGGGGCAUCUGGAACAGCCGGUGGAGCGGUGAAAUGCGUUGAUAUCGGCUGGAACUCCGAUGGCGAAGGCAAGGUGCUGGACCCUCUCUGACGCUGAGGCGCGAAAGCCAGGGGAGCGAACG
Molecule: ribosomal RNA, 207 nt
Filed under: uncultured bacterium
Lineage: Bacteria
Description: partial 16S ribosomal RNA
Rfam family: Bacterial small subunit ribosomal RNA
Source: RNAcentral